Molecule: ribosomal RNA, 254 nt
Filed under: uncultured bacterium
Lineage: Bacteria
Description: partial 16S ribosomal RNA
Rfam family: Bacterial small subunit ribosomal RNA
Source: RNAcentral
UACGGGGGGAGCAAGCGUUGUUCGGAUUUACUGGGCGUAAAGGGCGCGUAGGCGGCCAGCACAAGUCAGUUGUGAAAUCUCCGAGCUUAACUCGGAACGGUCAACUGAUACUGUGCGGCUAGAGUGCAGAAGGGGCAACUGGAAUUCUUGGUGUAGCGGUGAAAUGCGUAGAUAUCGGGAGGAACACCGGUGGCGAAGGCGGCCUUCUGGACAGUGACUGACGCUGAGACACGAAAGCGUGGGGAGCAAACAGG